ACAGUCGAGAUCUUUAAAUCAUAUUGAAAUAGAACAAAAUGGUGUCAACAUCUGCUUUAAUUCUAUUGGCCUUUACAUUAAUCACAUCUGUUUCGCAUUCAUAUGAAAUCUGUUCAAGAUAUGAAGGCGGUUGUUGUCCUGGUUACGAAUGGAGUAAAGAAAUAGGAAACUGUACAGAGUGUAAUAUUGGAUACUCAGGCCUUAAUUGCAGUAGGCAAUGUGUCUAUCCAACUUAUGGAUUAAAAUGCACAACGGUGUGUAACUGUUCAAAAGAAGAUUGCAAUAUUUCUACUGGAUGUGCGAUAAAGCUGUCAUGUAAGUCCAACAUUGUUUAAAAUAUGUUAGUAGUACAUUGUUUUUGUUUAUCAUUAGUUCAAUGUAACAUGUAUUGCACACGUGACUGUGUUUUUUCAUCAAAUACAUGAACAUAUAAUGUUAAGUUAUGAACUUAAUAAAAAAAACCCAUAAUGUAAGGUAGGAGGUAGACAAUACAAUUAAAAUAUACGGCAAUACAUUUUCAACAGUGACACA
Molecule: long non-coding RNA, 531 nt
Organism: Magallana angulata
Lineage: Eukaryota; Metazoa; Mollusca; Bivalvia; Ostreida; Ostreidae
Exons: 3
Source: RefSeq, a predicted model, not a curated record